This is a long non-coding RNA of Gasterosteus aculeatus aculeatus (three-spined stickleback), 287 nucleotides long. Lineage: Eukaryota; Metazoa; Chordata; Actinopteri; Perciformes; Gasterosteidae. The record is from Ensembl.
CCAGAACCAGAGGAGCAGUGGAGCCAGACCACAGGACCAGAACCACAGGACCAGAACCAGUGGACCAGAACCACAGGACUACAGAAAUUUCUAGGAUUAACGUUUGGAUCAAAGCUUCAUACGAACCGUUGAAUGAGGAGAAGUCGUCCAGAAGAACUCAUAAUCCAUCACCCAGUCUGACAUCUGAAGAUCUUCAUCAUUAGGAAGCUAAAUGUUAAAGAUAACAACUACCAAACAAGCUAAACCCUUCUUCUUCUUCUGUGGUGUCAGCUCGCUGACUGGAGAGC